UUAUAGUUUAUUUGAUAGUACCUUUACUUGGAUAACUGUGGUAAUUCUAGAGCUAAUACAUGCUAAAAACCUCGACUUCGGAAGGGGUGUAUUUAUUAGAUAAAAAACCAAUGCCCUUCGGGGCUCCUUGGUGAUUCAUGAUAACUUAACGAAUCGCAUGGCCUUGCGCCGGCGAUGGUUCAUUCAAAUUUCUGCCCUAUCAACUUUCGAUGGUAGGAUAGUGGCCUACCAUGGUUUUAACGGGUAACGGGGAAUUAGGGUUCUAUUCCGGAGAGGGAGCCUGAGAAACGGCUACCACAUCCAAGGAAGGCAGCAGGCGCGCAAAUUACCCAAUCCCGACACGGGGAGGUAGUGACAAUAAAUACUGAUGGUGGGUUCUUUUGGAUCUACCAAUUGGAAUGAGUACAAUUUAAAUCCCUUAACGAGGAACAAUUGGAGGGCAAGUCUGGUGCCAGCAGCCGCGGUAAUUCCAGCUCCAAUAGCGUAUAUUAAAGUUGUUGCAGUUAAAAAGCUCGUAGUUGAACUUUGGGUCUGGCUGAUCUGUCCUCCUAAUCGAGCGCACGGAUUCGGUCGGACCUUUCCUUCUGGGGAACCCGAUGCCCUUCACUGGGCGUCGUGGGGAACCAGGACUUUUACCUUGAAAAAAUUAGAGUGUUCAAAGCAGGCCUUUGCUCGAAUACAUUAGCAUGGAAUAAUAGAAUAGGACAUCGGUUCUAUUUUGUUGGUUUCUAGGACCGCCGUAAU
RNAcentral lists this ribosomal RNA (744 nucleotides) under Chaetothyriales sp. A514. RNAcentral's name for it is "SSU rRNA". It matches the Rfam family "Eukaryotic small subunit ribosomal RNA", at positions 110 to 866 of the family's 1831-position model. The record is from RNAcentral. Lineage: Eukaryota; Fungi; Ascomycota; Eurotiomycetes; Chaetothyriales.